CAGUCGCCACGGGAAUACGAAGGGGGCUAGCGUUGUUCGGAAUUACUGGGCGUAAAGCGCACGUAGGCGGAUAUUUAAGUCAGGGGUGAAAUCCCGCAGCUCAACUGCGGAACUGCCUUUGAUACUGGGUAUCUUGAGUAUGGAAGAGGUUAGUGGAAUUGCGAGUGUAGAGGUGAAAUUCGUAGAUAUUCGCAGGAACACCAGUGGCGAAGGCGGCUAACUGGUCCAUAACUGACGCUGAGGUGCGAAAGCGUGGGGAGCAAACAGGAUUAGAUACCCCGGUAGUCCCUGUCUCUUAUAC
RNAcentral lists this ribosomal RNA (301 nucleotides) under uncultured bacterium. RNAcentral describes it as "partial 16S ribosomal RNA". It matches the Rfam family "Bacterial small subunit ribosomal RNA", at positions 509 to 807 of the family's 1533-position model. The record is from RNAcentral.